This 229-nucleotide ribosomal RNA is filed under the name uncultured bacterium. RNAcentral describes it as "partial 16S ribosomal RNA". It matches the Rfam family "Bacterial small subunit ribosomal RNA", at positions 46 to 267 of the family's 1533-position model. The record is from RNAcentral.
UAAAGCCUAACACAUGCAAGUCGAACGGCAGCACAGGAGAGCUUGCUCUCUGGGUGGCGAGUGGCGGACGGGUGAGGAAUACAUCGGAAUCUACUCUGUCGUGGGGGAUAACGUAGGAAACUUACGCUAAUACCGCAUACGACCUACGGGUGAAAGCAGGGGAUCUUCGGACCUUGCGCGAUUGAAUGAGCCGAUGUCGGAUUAGCUAGUUGGCGGGGUAAAAGGCCCA